Molecule: ribosomal RNA, 502 nt
Filed under: uncultured bacterium
Lineage: Bacteria
Description: partial 16S ribosomal RNA
Rfam family: Bacterial small subunit ribosomal RNA
Source: RNAcentral
GACGAACGCUGGCGGCGUGCUUAACACAUGCAAGUCGAACGGUGAAGGGGUCUGCUUUUGUGGGCCCUGGAUGAGUGGCGAACGGGUGAGUAACACGUGAGUAACCUGCCCCCUUCUUCUGGAUAACCGCAUGAAAGUGUGGCUAAUACGGGAUAUUCUGGGUCUGUCGCAUGAUGGGUCUGGGAAAGAUUGCGCCUUUGGGUGUUUUUGGUGGGGGAUGGGCUCGCGGCCUAUCAGCUUGUUGGUGGGGUGAUGGCCUACCAAGGCGGUGACGGGUAGCCGGCCUGAGAGUGUGGACGGUCACACUGGGACUGAGACACGGCCCAGACUCCUACGGGAGGCAGCAGUGGGGAAUAUUGCACAAUGGGCGCAAGCCUGAUGCAGCGACGCCGCGUGAGGGAUGGAGGCCUUCGGGUUGUAAACCUCUUUCGCCAGUGAAGCAGGCCUGCUCCUUGUGGGUGGGUUGACGGUAGCUGGAUAAGAAGCGCCGGCUAACUACGUG